This 357-nucleotide unclassified non-coding RNA is filed under the name soil metagenome. RNAcentral describes it as "partial contains 5.8S ribosomal RNA, internal transcribed spacer 2, and large subunit ribosomal RNA". The stretch from base 2 to 120 matches the Rfam family "5.8S ribosomal RNA", at positions 36 to 154 of the family's 154-position model. The record is from RNAcentral.
UAUGAAGAACGUAGCGAAAUGCGAUAAGUAAUGUGAAUUGCAGAAUUCAGUGAAUCAUCGAAUCUUUGAACGCACAUUGCGCCCGUCAGUAUUCUGGCGGGCAUGCCUGUUCGAGCGUCAUUACGCCCCUCAAGUCCCCUGUGGACUUGGUGUUGGGGAUCGGCGAGGCUGGUUUUCCAGCACAGCCGUCCCUUAAAUUAAUUGGCGGUCUCGCCGUGGCCCUCCUCUGCGCAGUAGUAAAACACUCGCAACAGGAGCCCGGCGCGGUCCACUGCCGUAAAACCCCCCAACUUUUUAUAGUUGACCUCGAAUCAGGUAGGACUACCCGCUGAACUUAAGCAUAUCAAUAAGCGGAGA